CAGCCGCCGCGGUAAUACGAAGGGUGCAAGCGUUACUCGGAAUUACUGGGCGUAAAGCGUGCGUAGGUGGUGGUUUAAGUCCGUUGUGAAAGCCCUGGGCUCAACCUGGGAAUUGCAGUGGAUACUGGGUCACUAGAGUGUGGUAGAGGAUAGUGGAAUUUCCGGUGUAGCAGUGAAAUGCGUAGAGAUCGGAAGGAACGUCUGUGGCGAAGGCGACUAUCUGGGCCAACACUGACACUGAGGCACGAAAGCGUGGGGAGCAAACAGGAUUAGAUACCCGGGUAGUCCCUGUCUCUUAUAC
RNAcentral lists this ribosomal RNA (301 nucleotides) under uncultured bacterium. Its description in RNAcentral is "partial 16S ribosomal RNA". It matches the Rfam family "Bacterial small subunit ribosomal RNA", at positions 509 to 807 of the family's 1533-position model. The record is from RNAcentral.